Molecule: ribosomal RNA, 839 nt
Filed under: uncultured bacterium
Lineage: Bacteria
Description: bacterial SSU rRNA
Rfam family: Bacterial small subunit ribosomal RNA
Source: RNAcentral
GGCGAACGAGGUAGUAACACGUAGGAACGUACCCUUUAGUCAGGAAUAACCAGUCGAAAGAUUGGCUAAUACUUGAUAGUCUCUUCGGAGUAAAGAUUUAUCGCUAAAGGAACGGCCUGCGGGAUAUCAGCUAGUUGGUAGUGUAAUGGACUACCAAGGCUAUGACGUCUAGGGGAGCUGAGAGGCUGACCCCCACCGAUGGUACUGAGACACGGACCAUACACCUACGGGUGGCUGCAGUCGAGAAUCUUCCACAAUGGACGAAAGUCUGAUGGAGCGACGCCGCGUGAUUGAUGAAGUCCCUCUGGGACGUAAAGAUCUUUUAUCAGGGAGAAAGUUUAUUGAUAGUACCUGAUGAAUAAGGGGUUGCUAAACUCGUGCCAGCAGCAGCGGUAAUACGAGUGCCCCAAACGUUAUCCGGAAUCACUGGGCGUAAAGGGUGUGUAGGUGGUUGUGUUAGUCUUUUGUUAAAUUCUUCGGCUUAACCGGGGACCUGCGAAAGAAACGGCACGACUAGAGGAUGUGAGGGGUGAAUGGAACUCAUGGAGUAGGGGUGAAAUCCGUUGAUAUCAUGGGGAACACCAAAAGCGAAGGCAGUUCACUGGCACAUUCCUGACACUGAAACACGAAAGCGUAGGUAGCGAAUGGGAUUAGAUACCCCAGUAGUCUACGCCCUAAACGAUGAUCGCUAGUUUUUCGGAGUAUCGACCCUCUGAGAGACGAAGCUAACGCGUUAAGCGAUCCGCCUGGGUAGUACGACCGCAAGGUUAAAACUCAAAGGAAUAGACGGGGACUUGCACAAGCAGAGGAUUAUGUGGUUUAAUUCGACGAUAAACGAA